Neltuma alba is the source of this 692-nucleotide long non-coding RNA. RefSeq lists it as uncharacterized. The record is from RefSeq and is a predicted model, not a curated record. The transcript is spliced from 2 exons. Lineage: Eukaryota; Viridiplantae; Streptophyta; Magnoliopsida; Fabales; Fabaceae.
CAAGUUUCUGGUUAUGUUCAUGGAAUCAGUUCUGACUUACACAGAUCAUCACGACCUAAAUCAACUGAGUUUAGUUAUCCACCAACAGGACAUGUUAGAAAUAUGGAUACGAUAGGGGGAAGACACCUUCCAAUGUUAGAAGGAAGAGGAGGCUACUUAAACGGUGGAAUAGAUUUUCUGGGAAGAGCUGGUGGUGUUGGUGGAACCAGUUGUGAUUUGCAGAGAUCAUUGCGGUCUGAAUCAACUGUGUUUGGGCAUCCACAAACAGAUUAUGUUAUGAAUAUGGAUAUGAUUCUGGGGAAACAAGUUUCUGGUUAUGUUCAUGGAAUCAGCUCUGACUUACACAGAUCAUCACGACCUAAAUCAACUGAGUUUAGUUAUCCACCAACAGGACAUGUUAGAAAUAUGGAUAUGAUUGGGGGGGAGAUUUUUUUCUGAAUAUGUUCAUGGAAUUAGUUCUGACUUGCAGAGACGCUCAUGGCCUGAAUCCAGUAAUGUUGUGCAUCUUGGAACUGAUACCCUUAGGCCCUACUAUGCCGGUUGGUCCUAGAGUUGGAAAUGAAGCCUCUCAAUUUGUGGUUCUGGUUGCUAAACCUUUGUUUUGUGGCUUUGUUGGUUAUCUUUUAGGUUCUUUUGUUGGCCUGCAGCUACUAGCUGCACUGUGAAGCUGUGCAAUUUGAUGUUAACUUGGA